AACAAACGCUGGCGGCGUGCCUAACACAUGCAAGUCGAACGGAAUUGAGGGGCUUGCUCCUUAAUUUAGUGGCGCACGGGUGAGUAACGCGUGGAUAAUCUGCCCUGGUGUCCGGGAUAACAUUUCGAAAGGGGUGCUAAUACCGGAUAAGCCCACGAGGUCCUCGGACCUUGCGGGAAAAGGUGGCCUCUAUAUAUAAGCUACUGUAUCAGGAUGAGUCCGCGUACCAUUAGCUAGUUGGCGGGGUAACGGCCCACCAAGGCGACGAUGGUUAGCUGGUCUGAGAGGAUGAUCAGCCACACUGGAACUGAGACACGGUCCAGACUCCUACGGGAGGCAG
Molecule: ribosomal RNA, 340 nt
Filed under: uncultured Pseudomonadota bacterium
Lineage: Bacteria; Pseudomonadati; Pseudomonadota
Description: bacterial SSU rRNA
Rfam family: Bacterial small subunit ribosomal RNA
Source: RNAcentral